RNAcentral lists this ribosomal RNA (94 nucleotides) under Ornithocephalus kruegeri. Its description in RNAcentral is "5.8S ribosomal RNA". It matches the Rfam family "5.8S ribosomal RNA", at positions 1 to 89 of the family's 154-position model. From Rfam's summary of the family: 5.8S ribosomal RNA (5.8S rRNA) is a component of the large subunit of the eukaryotic ribosome. It is transcribed by RNA polymerase I as part of the 45S precursor that also contains 18S and 28S rRNA. The record is from RNAcentral. Lineage: Eukaryota; Viridiplantae; Streptophyta; Magnoliopsida; Asparagales; Orchidaceae. RNAcentral also lists the same sequence under 1 other name.
GGCACGACUCUCGACAAUGGAUAUCUCGGCUCUUGCAUCGAUGAAGAGCGCAGCGAAAUGCGAUACGUGGUGCGAAUUGCAGAAUCCCGUGAAC